This 754-nucleotide ribosomal RNA is filed under the name Bacillus sp. (in: firmicutes). RNAcentral describes it as "bacterial SSU rRNA". It matches the Rfam family "Bacterial small subunit ribosomal RNA", at positions 1 to 746 of the family's 1533-position model. Lineage: Bacteria; Bacillati; Bacillota; Bacilli; Caryophanales; Bacillaceae. The record is from RNAcentral.
AGAAUACAUCCGGGUCAGGAAGAACGGGGGCGGCGUGCCUAAUACAUGCAAGUCGAGCGGACAGAUGGGAGCUUGCUCCCUGAUGUUAGCGGCGGACGGGUGAGUAACACGUGGGUAACCUGCCUGUAAGACUGGGAUAACUCCGGGAAACCGGGGCUAAUACCGGAUGCUUGUUUGAACCGCAUCGUUCAAACAUAAAAGGUGGCUUCGGCUACCACUUACAGAUGGACCCGCGGCGCAUUAGCUAGUUGGUGAGGUAAUGGCUCACCAAGGCAACGAUGCGUAGCCGACCUGAGAGGGUGAUCGGCCACACUGGGACUGAGACACGGCCCAGACUCUUACGGGAGGCAGCAGUAGGGAAUCUUCUGCAAUGGACGAAAGUCUGACGGAGCAACGCCGCGUGAGUGAUGAAGGUUUUCGGAUCGUAAAGCUCUGUUGUUAGGGAAGAACAAGUACCGUUCGAAUAGGGCGGUACCUUGACGGUACCUAACCAGAAAGCCACGGCUAACUACGUGCCAGCAGCCGCGGUAAUACGUAGGUGGCAAGCGUUGUCCGGAAUUAUUGGGCGUAAAGGGCUCGCAGGCGGUUUCUUAAGUUUGAUGUGAAAGCCCCCGGCUCAACCGGGGAGGGUCAUUGGAAACUGGGGAACUUGAGUGCAGAAGAGGAGAGUGGAAUUCCACGUGUAGCGGUGAAAUGCGUAGAGAUGUGGAGGAACACCAGUGGCGAAGGCGACUCUCUGGUCUGUAACUGACGC